AUACAGAGGGUGCGAGCGUUAAUCGGAAUUACUGGGCGUAAAGCGCGCGUAGGUGGUUAUGUAAGUCGGAUGUGAAAGCCCCGGGCUUAACCUGGGAAUUGCAUUCGAAACUGCAUGGCUAGAGUCUGAUAGAGGGAAGUGGAAUUUCCGGUGUAGCGGUGAAAUGCGUAGAUAUCGGAAGGAACACCAGUGGCGAAGGCGGCUUCCUGGAUCAAGACUGACGCUGAGGUGCGAAAGCGUGGGGAGCAAACAGGAUUAGAUACCCGAGUAGUCC
This 274-nucleotide ribosomal RNA is filed under the name uncultured bacterium. RNAcentral describes it as "partial 16S ribosomal RNA". It matches the Rfam family "Bacterial small subunit ribosomal RNA", at positions 523 to 796 of the family's 1533-position model. The record is from RNAcentral.